GCCUUCGUGGUGUAAUGGUAGCACACUUGACACGCAUUCGAGAGGUCCAUGUUCGAGUCCCGGCGAGGGCA
Molecule: transfer RNA, 71 nt
Filed under: Stegodyphus mimosarum
Lineage: Eukaryota; Metazoa; Arthropoda; Arachnida; Araneae; Eresidae
Rfam family: tRNA
About the family: Transfer RNA (tRNA) molecules are approximately 80 nucleotides in length. Their secondary structure includes four short double-helical elements and three loops (D, anti-codon, and T loops).
Source: Rfam by way of RNAcentral